This 374-nucleotide ribosomal RNA is filed under the name uncultured eukaryote. RNAcentral's name for it is "partial 18S ribosomal RNA". It matches the Rfam family "Eukaryotic small subunit ribosomal RNA", at positions 592 to 976 of the family's 1831-position model. The record is from RNAcentral.
CAAUAGCGUAUAUUCAAGUUGUUGCAGUUAAAAAGCUCGUAGUUGGAUUUCUGCUGAUCGCUGUCGGUCUGCCGUCAGGUGUGUACUGGCAGUGUUUGGCAUCUAUUCGAGAUUGGGUGUCCACUUGAUUGUGUGCACUCGAUGUCGGAGCUAAUACUUUGAGAAAAUUAGAGUGUUCCACGCAGGCGCGUGCCUUGAAUACUGCAGCAUGGGAUAUUGGAAGGCCGAUUGAGCUUUCUUGUUGGUUCUCGGUUUGAUCGGAAUGAUUAAUAGGGAUAGUUGGGGGCAUUCGUAUUCAACUGUCAGAGGUGAAAUUCUUGGAUUUGUUGAAGACGGACUACUGCGAAAGCAUCUGCCAUGGAUGUUCUCAUUGA